AGUGAACGCUGGCGGUAGGCCUAACACAUGCAAGUCGAACGGCAGCACAGUAAGAGCUUGCUCUUACGGGUGGCGAGUGGCGGACGGGUGAGGAAUACAUCGGAAUCUACUUUUUCGUGGGGGAUAACGUAGGGAAACUUACGCUAAUACCGCAUACGACCUACGGGAGGAAGCAGAGGAUAUUCGGACCUUGCGCGAUUGAAAGAGCCGAUGUCGGAUUAGCUAGUUGGCGGGGUAAAGGCCCACCAAGGCGACGAUCCGUAGCUGGUCUGAGAGGAUGAUCGGCCACACUGGAACUGAGACACGGUCCAGACUCCUACGGGAGGCAGCAGUGGGGAAUAUUGGACAAUGGGCGCAAGCCUGAUCCAGCCAUGCCGCGUGGGUGAAGAAGGCCUUCGGGUUGUAAAGCCCUUUUGUUGGGAAAGAAAAGCAGCAGGUUAAUCCCCCGCUGUUCUGGCGGUACCCAAAGAAUAAGCACCGGCUAACUUCGUG
Molecule: ribosomal RNA, 492 nt
Filed under: uncultured bacterium
Lineage: Bacteria
Description: partial 16S ribosomal RNA
Rfam family: Bacterial small subunit ribosomal RNA
Source: RNAcentral